Macadamia integrifolia is the source of this 2290-nucleotide long non-coding RNA. RefSeq lists it as uncharacterized. Lineage: Eukaryota; Viridiplantae; Streptophyta; Magnoliopsida; Proteales; Proteaceae. The transcript is spliced from 2 exons. The record is from RefSeq and is a predicted model, not a curated record.
UUGAAAUUGGAUGUUUACUUGGCUGAAGCUUUGGCUGCCAUGACUCUCUCAUGUUUACUUUUUCUUUUUUCCCUCCUCCCCUGUUCUGGCGAAGGAAUAGACCCUCACAACUGAGGAUUGCUAUCUUUCCUCUCCUCUUCUUUUCCCUCCAAAUUCUGGGCGUUUGAUCUUCACUCUGAGGUGGUUUAAACCUUAGAAAUUCAUACCUGAAUGUGACCUCUGCUGUGAGUUACAAGACAGAUUUCAGGUCUGAUCUCUAAUCUACCGCCAGGCUCGAAUUCAGGUUCUUCCUGUGUCCUUCCAGCCUGCAGUUCCAAGCAUCUAUUUUAUGGGUUUGAUAGAGCCUCUUCUUGAGGAUAUUCACCAGAAAUUCCAGGCCAAACAAAGGCCGAUUGAAGGAGUUCUCUUGAUCCAAAGCCUCCCUGGUUUUCCACCUCUUACGUUGGCUGAAGGUAGAAGAAGAAAGACUCGUGAGUGGUUUAAAACUCUUUAAUUUUGUUUUUCCCAUUAUACCCCUCAAACCCCUUGAUUUGUGUCCUUUAGUAUUUGUUCUUUUAUGUAAAAAUCCCUCUUUUGUUUUACCUCCAUAUUAAUACCCCUUCCAUUCCACCUUUAUUUACUACUUACCCAUGCCCAAUAAUUGCUUCCAAGACUACCCCUGGCCUAUAAUUCUAAUCCCCUUCAUAUCCUACCAGUCACUUUAACCUCCUUUCCUCCUUUUGAAAUUCCUUUUAUUUGCAAGUCUGCCACUCUUUUCUAAGUUUCUGGUAAUUACUUAAUUGCCAUUCCCUUAAACUUCAGUUUAUUUACAGAACUGCCAUUAUUCUUUAAAUUUUGAAUUUACUACUUUAUUGUGGGCCCUAAGCGAUCCGAUUCCUGUUCUUGGAACCCGGAUCCGCAUCACAAGUGUACGUAGCCUUAAUGCCUUACUUUGUAAGAGAGGUUGUUUUCAUGUUUUGAACCUGUAACCAUAGUUGUCACGGCGUUAAAUCGAUCCAAGUCGGUGGAGGGGUGGCUAAUCGAUUUGGCGAUGAAUCACCCAUUAUGACAUUGCUAUGGUGGUCAAAUCGCCCAUGUGUCAUUUUUUAUUUUUCCUAUUUUCUAAAGUUAUUUAGCAUGCUACAAGCCUACAAUAUAUACCCUAUAACAUAUAAAACCAACAUUAAGCAACAUCAAAUCAUCAAAAAUCAACAUAGCCCUAUCAAAAUCAGCCUGCAUUUUACAAAAAAUCGACCGCCUAGUGAAUCAGGCAUGACUUGGUGUCCAUGGCGGCGCCUAUCAGCCAAUGGCAACUGCCAUUUGUGAGUCUCAAAAAUCGUAGCACUGUCAUGAACUUCUUUUUCCGUCAGGACGCCAAAUCGCCGCCUAGGCGACGCCAUGACAACUAUGCCUGUAACCAACAUGUUGCAAUAGUGCAACUUAACCGUUGCGCCAUAGGCUCGCUCACUAGUCCUACCCUUCUGAUUAUUAAAAUUAUUUUUUCACCAUAUGAUCAUAAAAGGGCCUCCUACCGAGAUAAUUUCUAUCUACUUAUUUCUUUGUUGACUUUAGUUUCUCUUUGCAUUGGUUCUUUCUAUCUAAAAUUUUCAUUUUCAAGUUUUAUAAUUAUUUGUUUUGUAACUUCCCAUGUAUUCUACCUGGUUUAUUGCAUCAAUUUGUCAUCAUUUGCACCAGGAAGCAUUUUCCCUGGAAAUUUGUUAACAAGCCCUUUUCUAUUCACCAAAUCCAUAAAUGUAGUAGUUGGCAAAUAAUUUGUCGUCAAAGUUGAUGUUUUUAUAUACCAAUCAACAAGGGGAAAAAUGCUUACAUCAGUUUUUGCUGUGCAGCACAAAGGGAGAAAGUUUUGGAUAAACAGCUUCACAGUUCGAUUGAACAACUAGCUGCUAAGCAAGCACAGGCAGAAGGCUUGGUCACUGAAAUCCAUCUCAAGAAACAAGAGUUAGAGAAACUAAAUGGAUCGUGGAGGCGGCUUGAGAGUGGGAACACAGAGCUGAAUACUGCAAGAAACCGGUUUGUCGGAGGCAGCUUGGGGAGGGGUUCUUCGGAAUACAUUGUUGACUAUCCUUCUAGACCUUCACAAAUAGGAGGUCGAACAGAAAGCCAGCAGAGGCUCAUGUUACUCAGGUCUGCAUUUGUACUCUACGUUUUGGUCCUUCAUGUGUUAGUUUUCAUCAAGAUUUCAUUCUAAGCUCAUUUUAGAGACAAACACUUACCUUCUCCUCUUGUUUAUAUGAAAAGUCUUAUGUAUAAUAUACAAUCAAACUUUGCUGGUUUCAUGCCAUUCUUCAAA